UACGGAGGGGGGCUAGCGUUGUUCGGAAUUACUGGGCGUAAAGCGCACGUAGGCGGCUUUGUAAGUUAGAGGUGAAAGCCCGGAGCUUAACUCCGGAACUGCCUUUAAGACUGCAUCGCUUGAAUCAUGGAGAGGUUAGUGGAAUUCCGAGUGUAGAGGUGAAAUUCGUAGAUAUUCGGAAGAACACCAGUGGCGAAGGCGACUAACUGGACAUGUAUUGACGCUGAGGUGCGAAAGCGUGGGGAGCAAACAGG
Molecule: ribosomal RNA, 254 nt
Filed under: uncultured bacterium
Lineage: Bacteria
Description: partial 16S ribosomal RNA
Rfam family: Bacterial small subunit ribosomal RNA
Source: RNAcentral